Molecule: RNA transcript, 1685 nt
Organism: Ziziphus jujuba (common jujube)
Lineage: Eukaryota; Viridiplantae; Streptophyta; Magnoliopsida; Rosales; Rhamnaceae
Gene name: N-alpha-acetyltransferase MAK3
Exons: 3
Source: RefSeq, a predicted model, not a curated record
UCAAUGGGCAAUGGCCCUCAAGCUUGAAGCAAAGGCCUCGAAAAGGCCAAUAAAGGGGGAAUCUCAUAAUACGGAAGAGGAAGCAGCAGAGAUACGCUGACAGACUGAGAGAGAGAGAGAGAGAGAGAGAGAGAGAGAGAGAGAGAGAGAGCGGGAGCGAAUGGAGUCGAAGAAGAUGGAAGAAGAAGAAGAAGAAGAAAAAGCGGAAUUCGAGGAAUCGGAGAUAGAGUACGUGAGCUAUGGGGGCGAACAUCAUCUACCGCUGAUCAUGCGCCUCGUUGACCAAGAACUCAGUGAGCCCUACUCCAUCUUCACCUACCCACUACUUCGUCUAUCUAUGGCCCCAGCUCUUCUUUCUCGGAUUCCAUAGAGGCAAAUGUGUAGGAACGGUGGUUUGAAAGAUGGGUGAGCAUAGGAACACUUUCAGAGGAUACAUCGCCAUGUUGGUUGUCAUCAAACCCUGUAGAGGAAGAGGCAUUGAUCUAUUAAAGUCAUGAUGGAAUCGGGUUGCGAAGAAGUAUAUCAGCAGAAUUUAGAUAUUUUUCCAUUGCUUUCUUCCGAUCACUGGUAAAAUAUGGAAUAAUAAUGGGAGCUUUGUAUAUUUUUUUUAUGUUGUAUUUUUUAUUAUGUUGUGGUUGUUGAAUGAUUCUUAUUUCCUCUCCUUCCCUCGCCUUCAUUGUUGUAUGAUUUUUGUUUUUAAUUUUUUGGUUCAAAUUUAUUAUUCAUUUGCUAUUUACCUUACUUUGAUCUAUAUUUACAUUAUGAUUUACUAUUUCCCAACCAAUUUUGGCACCGUAUACGAAACGCCCCUUGUGUGGCUUAUGAAGUAUUAAAUGAAAUGCAAUGAAUUGGUUGCUUUUGGAAUGAUGCUUAGAAGUGUAAAGCUUAAUUUUUUAUUUUGAUAGUACCUAUAUUCUUUAGAGAAGAUCAUAAAUGGAUGCGUGAUUGGGUUGUUAAUGUUAUUCCGCAUGCAUUCUAUAAUCAUAGCUAACCUUGGUAACACCCAAUUACAUUAAGCUAGAUUCCUUUCAUAAUUCUUUUUCUUACUUUUUAUUACUAUAUUUUGUGAUUUUGAAAGUCAGUGGUCGUUAUAACUUACUGACCAAAUUAUGAUAGGAAGCAGCUUCGUUGAAUCAAAUUUUAUACUCUAACUUGCCUCCCUUCUCUUAAGAUUUGAAAUGGUUGUGAUUACAUUUUAGUUCUCUUUUGUUUUAAUUCAGUUAAAUUUAUGUGUAUAUCAAUUUGUGGAUUUUCGUUUUAUAUCAGUGUUCUGAAGUUGAAGAUGAAACUUGUUACUUCAUGUUUGUUUGAUUUUCCUCAUAUGAGGGUGACAUUAGAAGCAGAAGUCACAAACAAAGGAGCACUUGCACUAUAUGGUCGUCUUGGAUUUAUGAGGGCAAAACGGCUCUACCGAUAUUACUUGAAUGGAGUUGAUGCUUUCCGUUCGAAAAACGGCUCUACCCUUUCGUUCAUAAAGAUGAGGGGCAGAUCAGGCAUACUGAUUAUCUACCAUCUGAAAAUGUUGCGGGUUACGUUGAAUCUUGUAAUCUAGAAUUUCCAAGUUCUAACCAGAACAAUUACCUACAAUUGUAUGUUGCAUUCUAUAAUUAUUUAGAAUGAUGUUUAUGAUAUUUAUUCUGUAACCACAAGCUGUUGGUUGAGAUGGGAUUAUCAAACUGACGAAA